ACUACUUUGGCAGAUAAGUGCAUUAGGUUUAGAUUCUAAUUAUAUAGAAAUACUAUAGGUAGUG
This 64-nucleotide transfer RNA is filed under the name Potamanthellus edmundsi. RNAcentral describes it as "tRNA-Leu". Lineage: Eukaryota; Metazoa; Arthropoda; Insecta; Ephemeroptera; Neoephemeridae. The record is from RNAcentral.